This 489-nucleotide long non-coding RNA is filed under the name Aotus nancymaae (Ma's night monkey). RNAcentral describes it as "lncRNA (ENSANAG00000039112.1)". The record is from RNAcentral. Lineage: Eukaryota; Metazoa; Chordata; Mammalia; Primates; Aotidae.
ACUUCAGAAGAGUAUAAACUCAGAAUGUAAAUCUAUCUAUUUAGAUCUCAAGGACCAAAGAAGCUACAUCACAUCAGAAUUAUGACUGUGGUGCUCAAGGAGAGAUUGAAAGAUGUUUUCAAGGAAAGGACGUUAAAAGCCUGCUUUGCCCUUUUGUAUGUGUGGCUAAUCCUGGAGUCCGAGAAGGGAAAAAGAAAAAAGCCUGAAAAAGACCUGUUUCAUAUUUUAUUCCAUGCACUCUGUUCCUCUAGGAUCUUAGGUAUCUUCAUGUUAGAAGCUCAGAGACUCAGCAACAAUCUUCAGGAACCUUGGUUUUCACAUGUGACCAUGAAAGCAAGUCAAUGAUAGUAAUUUAGGAGAUUGGGAAAAAAUAAUGUGUUGGUGAAUGAUUACUUCGAAAGGUGAGAAUAUAUAUCUUCCUUCUAACUUUUCUAACUUUAUCACGGCUUCUGUUUAUAUGGGUUCAUUUGAAGAAACACAAUUAAAUUA